This 460-nucleotide ribosomal RNA is filed under the name uncultured bacterium. RNAcentral describes it as "partial 16S ribosomal RNA". It matches the Rfam family "Bacterial small subunit ribosomal RNA", at positions 338 to 795 of the family's 1533-position model. The record is from RNAcentral.
CCUACGGGAGGCAGCAGUGAGGAAUAUUGGUCAAUGGACGAGAGUCUGAACCAGCCAAGUAGCGUGAAGGAUGACUGCCCUAUGGGUUGUAAACUUCUUUUAUAUGGGAAUAAAGUGUUCCACGUGUGGGAUUUUGUAUGUACCAUAUGAAUAAGGAUCGGCUAACUCCGUGCCAGCAGCCGCGGUAAUACGGAGGAUACGAGCGUUAUCCGGAUUUAUUGGGUUUAAAGGGCACGUAGGGGGGUUGUUAAGUCAGUUGUGAAAGGUUGCGGCGCAACCGGAAAAUUGCAGUUGAAAAUGGCAGGCUUGAGUACAGUAGAGGUGGGCGGAAGUCGUGGUGUAGCGGUGAAAUGCUUAGAUAUCGCGAAGAACUCCGAUUGCGAAGGCAGCUCACUGGACUGCAACUGACACUGAGGCACGAAAGUGUGGGGAUCAAACAGGAUUAGAUACCCUUGUAGUC